UUUCGUUAACAAUGUUUCGUAGAAAGAUUUUUUCUAUUUUUCUGAAUGCUGUAAUUAUUCAGAACAGCGUCUCCCAAGUACUACCCCUCACCGGUGGCUGUGGAUGCCAGCAAAUGCCAGUCCAGCAAGCCCUGGCAUCGCCAUUCCAAGUCUCCAACUGUGGAUGCCGAAACAAUCUACUAAACCUACCGAAUGGCAUCCAGCUCAAUAACAAUUUACCACUUGGCCAACUUGCCAAAAAUCCCUGCACAAACAACUUACAAUUGGCAAUGCAAAACUUAAUGCCAAUCCGCAACGGCCUGGCAAAUGGAUUGCAAUUGGCAAACUCAUUGUCUCAAGAAUUAUUGCCACUUUUGAACACGCCAGCGCCCAAUUGCCAAAACACGCUGCAAAUGAGCUUACAAGCGCUGUUGAAUCAAUUAGGCCAGCAACCGAAUUGCCAAUGCGGUUGCCAAUCUUUGGCAUUGGGUAACAAUCUCAUUAAUAACAACUUAUUAGGCGUAAAUGCCAUGCAGAAAGCUAUUAGUAACUUACCAGGCCAGUCAGUAGCCAAUUUUCAGGUAGUAUCAGGACAGCAAGAAGUCAUUCUAGGUGGCAAUCCUUGCCAAAGUUGCCAGAACAUUAUAAGUAACCCUUGCCAAUCUUGCCAAAAUGUUAUAAACCCCUGUGCGUGCCAAAGUUGCCAGAAUAUAGUAAGUCCGUGCGCUUGUCAAAAUAUUAUAAGCCCUUGUCAAGCCAGUCAAAAUGUAAUAACUAGCCCUUGCCAAGCGAGUCAGAAUGUCAUAACUAGCCCUUGCCAAGCUAGUCAGAAUAUCGUUAGUAAUCCCUGCCCAUGCCAAUCAUGCCAAAAUCCUAUGCAGUUUACUAUUUAUCAAUAAUAACUUAUAUUUUUCUCGUAUGAAAGAUGAUCCGCAGCUGUAUUUAUUAUUAGGCUAAGACUUAAAUUAAAUAAAUUAUUGAUUUAAAUUUU
Molecule: long non-coding RNA, 970 nt
Organism: Leguminivora glycinivorella
Lineage: Eukaryota; Metazoa; Arthropoda; Insecta; Lepidoptera; Tortricidae
Exons: 2
Source: RefSeq, a predicted model, not a curated record